This 234-nucleotide unclassified non-coding RNA is filed under the name Hevea brasiliensis (rubber tree). The record is from RNAcentral. Lineage: Eukaryota; Viridiplantae; Streptophyta; Magnoliopsida; Malpighiales; Euphorbiaceae.
GUUGGAAACAUGGAAGCCACAAUCUCAAACCUCAAACUCGGAGCCUUUCACACACUCUCAUCCAACCUCUCACCACCAUUUUCUCUCAGAUUUUCCCUCACUUUCCCAGAAACUAGUAGAAAGAAAUCCACUACUCUUAGGCAAACUUCUUCUUCUUCAAUCUCUCACAUUCCCCUAAGAGUGUCUGCAAAUUCCCAAGCAGCCCCUGCUUCAACCCAAGCUACCAAAGUCUCC